This is a long non-coding RNA of Eriocheir sinensis (Chinese mitten crab), 1527 nucleotides long. RefSeq lists it as uncharacterized. Lineage: Eukaryota; Metazoa; Arthropoda; Malacostraca; Decapoda; Varunidae. The record is from RefSeq and is a predicted model, not a curated record. The transcript is spliced from 5 exons.
CUGCCUCUAGAACAUUACCCUGGGCUGCACCACUCAUAACAUCUGUCCAGUCAAAAACUGCACUAUAUUCAGUAAGAUCAUAAAUAUAUACCACAAAUAAUGAGACUAAAACAUUGCCCUGGGGUACUCCACUUGUCUUUCCCAUCAAAAAUUGUAACAUUCACUUGUACUGUCUGCUUGAUAGGUCUCAAAUAAAGGAACAAGACUUCAGACAAAAGCCAGAUUGGUGAGGAUCAUUGUGCUGGAACAUCAUCAUCAUUUCAUAGACGCCUGCUCCUAGGAGCUGCCACCAGGGGACGGCCACGGCAGAAGAGUUUCCAACUGUAACGCAUCACAGCAAUGCUAGGGAUGCUAACACAGGCCUCCCCACAGAGUAGCAUAGGGCAGAGGGCGGCGUGCAGCCCUGCAUUGCAUCAAAUCAGCUGCCCCAUCACGGCCAUGCCCACGCCCGUCAUUCUGGGCCAAGGAGAACCUCGGGUGGCAGGCAGCACAGCGGGGGAGGCGGCGGUGCCAGGCCAGGAGGAAUUUGGCGAUGACAUUUACCGUCUGGCGAGGGAGCAGCCGUGGGUGGUGGCAGCAACUCAUCGAGCGGCGUGGAGGAGGGAGCCGCCAGGGUGGACCACGCCUACAGCCUGCACGUCACCGCCCGCCAUGCACUAAGGGCUGUGGGCGUGCAUGACCGCCAACCAAAGACUCAGCCCAGAGGAAGAGCCAGGCCAGCACCACCACAGGGACAGAGGACGAUGAGGAGAGUGUUCCAACGCUGCUCCAACUCAAGGUUCAUAGGCCACACGCUGAGCCCUGCCAAGAUGUCCUGCCAGGUGGUCGGCCUCCACCCCUACACCUCCCACUGGUUCCUCCUGCUGCCCCACUACAAGGAUGUGCCAAGUAUGCCCUCCAGCCUGCAGUCCUUGGAUGACCCUCCGCGUGCCGUGGAUUAAGGCCAACCUUAACGUGUGCAUAUCUGGUGAGCUCUGGGACCACCCUGCCCUCCCUCACCCACAGGGAUGAGCUUAUCAAGGAGUGGGCGAAACCCUCCACACUCUGACCUGUGUGUUGGCCCGCCAUGUACGCCCUCGGCCUCAGCAGUCUGCCGCUGGAGCGCGUCGGUGAACGGCGACUCGUCAGGAGGGGCUUCACCAAGCGCUCCGGCCUGGAUGUUAGUGCUGAGUGUUGCCUCCCAGAUAGUGAAGUCGGUUAGUCUGAAUUGGUCUUAGAAAUCACUACGUUUACCUCAGUUUACUAAGGAGGAAAUUACACUGAAAUCUAGGCGUCCGGAUUCUGAUGUGCAGGGAUUUGUAAGGGAUGUGAGUGCCUGAGUGUUGCUGUUGGUGUCGUGGAAGUCCAGGAGUCUGAAUUGGUCUGAAAAAUCCCAGUAAAAUUUAUUUUUGCUAACGGGGAUUUUGUAAGCUGAAAUAUAGUUGUCCAAAUUCUGAAAUGCAGGAAAUUCAUAAAAGUAACAAGUGCCAGAGUGCUGGUAGUGAUUCAGUAACAGUCUGUCAGUACAAAUUCCAUUGCUCUGAAGAA